Pseudoliparis swirei is the source of this 7805-nucleotide long non-coding RNA. RefSeq lists it as uncharacterized. NCBI's taxonomy places the organism in Eukaryota, Metazoa, Chordata, Actinopteri, Perciformes, Liparidae. The record is from RefSeq and is a predicted model, not a curated record. The transcript is spliced from 2 exons.
GUUCUGUCAAGAGAAACGUGAGCGACUCAAGAGUUUUCUACGUGAAAUAUCAAAGUAAGGCAGUUUGCUUUGAGAAAAAAACAAUAAUUAGGAUUAUUUAUUACAAACAGAAGAAAAGUAAAAACACAGCCAUACUUUUCAUGGUGAUCAACACAAAGCAGCCACGGCCCCCUUUGUUAUACAAAGACCGUCGGCCUGCAUCAUCAAAGUCGAGGAGGAAAGAAUGCAUGUAAAACCCCGUCGGGGGGGAAUAGAGGAAAAAGGAAAUGUUUUGGAAAGGGAAUGGACGGACACCAAAAAGCCUCGGCAGAAACUUCAGAGUUCAAACUGCGUAUUUAUGUUAUAACUAGGGAUGCACCGAUCUGAUCGGCGCCGAUCCAUAUCGGCCGAUAUUCCCAUUAUCGGUUUUGAUGGUCGUUCUCAAAACGGCCGAUCAGAUGACGUCACAUCUGUGAGAACUAUCAGAGACGUUUCAAUCGCGGUGCACCGCAACGGAGUAAAUGCGCCCGACGAGGGCCGCAGAGUGAGAGGUCAGAGGUCAGAGGGGAUCCUCACCACCGAGCGGCGUCCCCGUCCCCCGAGUUGAAUCUCUGGGUCGAUUCAGCCGACUCUCACAUGUCUGCCCCUAGAGAUGCUCACGGUAAACACAUUCCAUCGGGAGCAAAGAGGGUUUUGAUAAAGUUAGCGGAAGGAUUUAAGUGACAACAUCCGGUUUUGCAAAGUUAGCGGAAAGAACCACGUGAAACAACAUCCGUUUUUCAAAAUAAGAUGUCGACAAAUCAUACACGAACAUAUAAAAGUAAACAAUUAACUGAUUUUGUAUCUUUAUAGAUCGUUUCUUAGAUUUAGCUUAAAUUAUGCUCACAGUAAAACAUUUUUACUGUACCAAGGAAGAGUUUAUAAAAAUAAGUCAGACUUUUGUAUGUUAAAAAAAGUCCUGUAUAUAGAUUUCCCCAAGAGUUCCAGGAAAUUAAUAAUGCAGAUGUGUUCCAUACAUAUCGGAAAUCCCCUACAAUAGCAAUCAAACAAUUUUAAUGUAUCAAUUCGGACAUUUUUCAAAGUAAAAGUCCUAAAUGUUUAAAGAAAUCGGUAAUUUCUUUAAUGUUUGAGUUGCUUUAUAUAUGUAUUUCCUCAUAGUCCUAGGCAAUAAUGCUACACAAUAAAUAGAAUGCUUCAAUCGACACCGUGAUCGGUGAUCGGUAUUAUCGGUGAUCGGCAGAUACUGAUUUCAGUGAUCGGCACCAAAAACCUGAUCGGUGCAUCUCUAGUUAUAACACAACACAAGAUCUGCAUGAUACAAUUAUUUAUGUAAGACACACAUUACAGUUCACUGGAACACUCCAGAGGUACUUUUACUCCACCACAUUGAUCUCACAUGCAACGAAGUACGCUCCAUACUUAAGGAGUUCCUCAAAGAACCUAUAAAGGAGUCUCAAAGAACCUUCAAAUAAUGGUUCUUUAAGGCACCAUUUUUGGUUCCACAGAGAACCUUUCACACCAGGGUUCUUUCAGGGAUGAUGUAACAGACGUGGACGUCUCUAAUAAAUGUGUUACCUACCCAGGGACAUUGUUGUGGAGGCUUUAUGAAAACAAAAAGGCGUGGCACAUGUCAAGUGGGCAGCAGGUAUUGUUUUUCCCUCUCGUAAAAAACAAAGAGUCUUUUCAAGAUUGUGCAGAGCACUUUUGUCUCAGUGCCUCGGCUUUCCAAGAGAGUUGCUUCAGAGACAUGUUUCCCGUAUGUAACUCAAGGUUUUCUGACUUCAUGAUCAACAGAUGUCACCCUCGAUAGUUUACUCAUUUCCUUAAAAGCUGCAGGAACGACUUUAUUAGCCUUUUGGUGCCAGAAAAAACUCCAAUAAACAGACGAUGUAUAUUACUGCCUAAUAAGGUGUUUUUUUAGGCUAACGUGCGAGCAAUAAGUGACUUUCACACCUCCAGCAAACAUUAUAGUUCAUUUAAAGUGAUGUUCUUGGCUCACAUCCACAUUUUUUUUUUUAAAGCUUUCUGUGUUUUUAAACACAUGCGAAGAAUAACGAGCCUGCCGGCUAACCGGGUAACGCGACUCCCGGCGAGAGGUAAAAGCUGAGGCAGUCCGGCCCCCCGCUGAGAGACGGUUGCCUGCGCCACGUGAGGUUUCUCAUUUAGGGUCCCGAGUCCACCAACACCGGGAGACCUGAACCGCUUCUGCCUCGGCGACACGCCGCUGCUAUAUCUGCCAAGCAGUCUUCAAAAAUGCCAGAGAGCUGACGAACCCGGUCAUGCUAAAUAUGGCUGUUAGCUGUGUAAAUAUGGAAUGUAAGCCAAAGAAAAUAUACAUUUGAUGUCAAAACAAACCAACGCAACGGAAGCGAGCGUCCUCGUGCCGCUGUACAUGAGAUUGAUGAGAGCAGCGAUAUUAAAAAAGAGGCCCACGAGGGUUUUGUUCUGGACGGAUUAAUGCUUCGCGUCAUAAUUGAUUCAUAAAUAAGGAAACAAGGUUGCUUUGAGAAGCUUUACACACGUGGAUGUCUUCCUCCUCAUGCGUAACUGUAUGCUCGGCCCUUUUUAGCUCGGUAGGAUGUUCACGGUCUGCUUCGGUGAGCCGGCACACUUUAUAACAGCGAGUCAGAGAUUUCACAGAGCGCAGAGAGGGUUUCUCAGGAGUGAUAUGCAAACCGACUGAGCCACAGAGUCCCAUGGACAUCUCCUCCUAAACACACAAACUCACUCGCUCCUCCCUCGUCUUGCAACGCGACGUCCGUCGGGGCGGGAGGAUCCCAUCGCAUGUCAGCGGCGUCAUAGUGAGUCGGUUUCAGAGCGUGCGUCGCGGAGACGUCCGUGGUGAUCAUUUGCAUUUCAAAUCGUGGUAUUUGCUCUCCGGUGUCCGGUGACGCCGACGGGUAACGCGCUGCUCGCCGCCGGCUGACACCGACGCGCAUUUAACCCUCCCGUUGCCUUAGGGUCAAUGUGACCCCAUUCAAUGUUUAACCCUCCUGUUACCUUUACAUUUACUGACAUAUUUUACCCUCGGGGUCAAUUUGACCCCAGCAAUUAAAACCUCCAGAAAAUUAUUAGAAUUAAUAUUGUUUCCCAAGUUUAUGUGUGAGGUACUUUAUGUUUGUUGACUACCUAAAUAGCUCUUUAAAUAUAUAAAAAAAGUUGAUAUUUCUUAUAUGUUUGACACAGUGAAAAACAGCCUGGGGUCAAAUUGACCCCAAAGAACACCGACAUUAAACAUUGAACGGGGUCAAAUUGACCCUAAAGGUAACAGGAGGGUUAAGAGCGCGUCGGAUACGUCAACACCCGCCUGGCGACAUGACCGGUGACUUACGCCGUUUAUUCAAGAGGAAGGUGGUCCCAUGUGGAGGCGGAUGGGCCCGGCUAACAGAGGCCUUUCAUCCAGUGUGCUUAUUGAACCAAACCCAACUAAAUAGUUCUGCAACUCUAAGUUUGUGACUGUAUCUUUUUAUUAUUAUUAUUUGCAACCCGUGAACGGAAACGACCAUAAUUGGAUCGUCGAGGAGCGACGUAGAGACGCUGUCGCAGCUCUGGUAUAUUCUAUAUACAUAUUUGGAUUGCAGAGACGCUGUACGCCGCUCUGGUGUACACAGCUCUAUCGUCACAGUGAGCACGCCCUAAAACAUACUAUUUCCCUUUAAACUGGACCGUGAUUUUACUCAAUGUCAUCUUGCUCUCUUGAAGAUUUUAAACUAGCCGUUGAGACCAUAAACGUCUCGUUCACAAUGUUUACUGAGGUCAUUAAUCAAGUGAGCAGCAAGACUCAUGUUCUCAUAUCUAAUCGGACUUCUUUAGAGAAUGAAAGUUUUAAACGUUUUUACUCGGCGCAAACCGAUGGUUGCAGCGUGUUAGAGACGGAGAUUUAUUUUGAAAAGACACUUUGCAUGUCAGUGUAAUUUGACACUCCAUUGUUGAGAUGCAAAACAGGGGCUAACAGGGGCAGGUAGGGAACAGACUGUAUAAAACAUGGAUGUAUUCUCCAUGAUAGCAGCUAGCAGCUAGCCUCCUCCGUCCCCCAACGUGGCCACACCUCCUUCACAUAAUUUAUACUGUGAGUUAUUGGAUAUCAAAUAAACCCUGGUACAGUUGUCAUGAACAUGGAAAUUAGCCCAAAACAUAGACUGUAUAAAACAUGGAUGUAGUCUCCAUGGCCGCACCUUGUUAACAUAGCAGCUGUUCAGAAACCAAAGUGGCCGAACCUUGUUUACAUAAUUUAUACUGUGAGCUUCUGUACAUAAAAUAAACCGACCAAAAACGUUUUUUUUUUACUGUGUUAACAUUUUUAUUUAUUUCUGCUGUUGAGUUGUUGCAUUUUAACAUGCGCGUCGACGAGGAUCGACUCGCUUUUGCAGCCAGCCUCAAGUGGCCAUUUGAGGAAGUGCAGGAGCUUUUGGCACUUUGCCGUUUUCGCCUAAUUUCUCAUCACCCAAGUUAAGCAUCAAGAGUUUGACGCCUGAUGCCACGCACCGAGCUACCUAUCCCACUGGAGUGAGAAUGAGUUUGUCUUGCAUUAGGCGGCCUGUCUAAUGCCUGUUUCAGUCACGUCCGACCGACCGUGGUCCCCGGCUCCACGGCCUGCUUCCUCUCCGAGGGAAAGAGAAAGCAAAGAGGCAACACGGUGAGAUGCCUGAUUCAUGAGUGCUCCCUCUGUCCUUCUCUUCCAUACAGGUGCAGAAGUGGGUUUUGGCACAGGCGCAGCUACAUUCUUUCACAUAGGCACAAACACCCACACCUCCGGUCCCUGCCUCUCAGUACUUUUCCAUUCAGACCCGAGAGCUCCGCCCCCAUUUUGCGAUUUGGAGACGUGAAGAGCAUUUAGGGACCUUAUCACAUGCUUAUCUGGAGGGAAACGCGGCAGCGGGUGUUAAUGGUGAUUCCACUGGCUUCUAACGACAUGCACACGAGAGGCUACGGAAAGGUUCAGGUGGAUGUGAAUGCACCAGUGAAAUGUGACCCGGACAGACACGAUGCAUGUUCACACAGAGAGACAGGAAGAGAGAGAGAGAGAGACAGAGGGCCGACGGAGAGAUCAUAAGAGACAAUUAGAGCGGCUACCGCCCUUCAUCUGUUAUAAACCUCUCCCUUAAUACACAACAGUUCCUCCUUCCCUGGAACAGAUCCAGCCAUGAUUUGGAAGUCAGCCACCCAGACUUAGAAAGCAAAGCAACAACCCCGAAAACUGCAAAGAUGAGUUAGCGGUCACUGUAAAGCGCACAUUUGAUUCCUGCUAUGUGGGUUGUUACAUCGCGGCUGUAGACAAUCAAACAGUGUCUAUACCUAGAGUGCGUUUCCAGUUUAAACUAAUACUAUGCCAACUAGUACAUGCUGCAGUAUAAAGGUCAGAGGACGCUAUCAGGCCCGACUUCUGCUUCAGAAGUCACAAAGAAUAGGACUUUAAAAAGAAAGAUUUCCCCCUCUCUGACAACGUCACACAGGCCCGUGGCAACGAGAGGGGAUGUGUCGAGAGCACGUGUCGGGCGCCAUCAAAAAGAGUGAAAAUUAAUACUAAUCUCUUCGGGAGGAAGCUAAGCUCGCUUUGUUAAUUCACUCCGGGCGCUUUAUUCAGGGUGAUCAAGUGACGCCGAACAUCGACGAAGAGGGACAGUGAUAAUUGGAGCUUAGAAAGAGGACGUGGACGAUGACAGUCGGGAAAUCAGCAGUCAGAUCAGUGGCAGCAAGGAAUCCCCUUCCCCCGGCAUGGAGAGAGGACCCCUGGGGGGCCCCUGGAGGAGACCCCAUUUCAUGCAGUGGGCCGCAUGUCAGAGGGCAAAUGGUGGCCGAGUGAUGACAUCAUGUGGAUAUGCAAAUCUACCAACAGCCAGACGGCUCGGCCAAUGAGCGAAUUGGGGAAAGGUGUUACCAAGACAAUGUAUCCAAUGAGAAGUGGAUAUCUCCCCUGGAGACGCCCGGGAGAGACAAAAUAAACUUCCGGAUGAUGCCGAGACACUUCUUUAGGUGGAGCAAGAGACAGUUCACUGCAAUUGGUUUAGCCAGGAGUGGUCUGUGGAUUGUGAAGCCAGAGAAAUCCUCGGCCGAGAAUUUAUACUCUGUAUCUGAACAGUUAUUAGUUAUUAUCAACUAUUGGUAAUACUUUUUAUUAAAUACAUUUUCAGGGCUCUCAAGUUUUGAAGACAGGCAAGAGUGACAUUUCCAUCAGCACUCGGAUAUCAGUCAGUCGCGCGCAAUAACAGGAUGCUUUAUCUUCAUUGGUUGCUGGAUUAAAUCUCACCCAGAUACAACAGAUACGGGUUGUUUUCUGAUUGGCUAUUGUGUAGCCCAUUUCUUUUUUUUGAUUGGCUGAUAAGUGGCUCCUCACAGCAGAACUCCAGGGGAGCGCUUGAUUCCUCCACGGUGAGGGCAGCGCGGCCAGCUCAUGUUGGCGCGCUGCGGCACAUUAAAACAUUAAAUAGCCGAGAGUUUUUUUCAGCGUGAGAAAUAUGAUGUGUGGCGGGAGUGCGUGACUUAAGACCGAAAUGCGUGAGUGUCACGCUCAAUGCGUGACACUUGAGAGCCCUGCAUUUUAUUAUAACUUUUCGACUCCGGACAUUUUCUUCAGUUCCAUUUAAGAACCGUUCUUGUUCUGUGUGCAUUGUGCUAAUACGCUGCUGCAUUGUUCGGGUUAGCUGCUGUAAAGUUUUCUCACUUGUCUCGCGCUCCGAGAGACCAUCAAACAAUAUUCCUUUAACCACAUUGUGAAAUGCUUCCACACAGAUUGUGUCUCCUGUUUUUGAAGACGCAGGAUUUUAUCGUUGAGUUUUUUUUUGUACAUUUGAGGCAAAUGUUUUCGUUAAAAGAAAAAAAAAACUCUUUUGUUUUAGUUUAGAUUUAGAUUUAAAACUCUCGUGCGGCGUUCACACCAAAAGUGCCGCACAUUGUUGGCGUGAGUAGAUCCCAUGCAAAGUCAAUGUCAGCUGCGUGAGGCCAGGGUGAUGUUAUGAGCCCAAACACGAGGCGUUUGAUGUUCAGACGCUUGUUGGAUGUCCACAACAAGUAGAAAGCAGAACGAGUGGUUAUGUAUUCCAUGGUGGAUGAAGGAAGUGAUUGCCACGGAGUACAGAGGCAUACCAUUCCCUCUGAGGCGCGAAUGACGCGAAUAAACCACAAAUAGUCGGGCGAGUAAACUCACACGAGUAAAGCGGAAAAAAGCUUCUUCUUUUUUUACGCAGCAUUAAAAUAAAUGCCGUUUAUAUUUUUUCCUUUUUCCAAAGUCGCACCGUUUAAUUGUAGCUGCUCCAGCUGGUUAUCGGGGUUUCUUGUGGUAUAAGACUGUUGUGUACUUUAUACUGCUGUCAUAACAUUGUGUUGUGACUUAUACAUAUACUUGUAUGAUAUAUUUUUGCAUUACUUUGCACUUUGUUUAAACUUUUUAAAUCCAAAUGAAAGAAAAAUAACAUUUGUGGUUGCACAGUCAUACACACAGUAGUGUUUUGCAUUUUGUGUAUAUUUGUUUCAGGAAAAAAGUGUUCGAUGUAAAGUACAUAGUGGGUACGUAAAGUAUUCAGACGCCUUUAAAUUUCAUUAAAAAAGUUCAUUUUAUUUCUCAUUAAUGUACACUCAGCAAAGAGUCUGAAUACUGAUGAACAUGUGAUAUUUCAGUUUUUCUUUUUUACUAAAUUUGCAAAAAAUUCUACAUUCCUGUUUUUCCUGUCCAGAUGAGGACAUUAAUGAGAAAUAAAAUGAACUUUUUUUUAUUUUAGCAAAUGGCUGCAAUGAAACAAAGUAAUAAUUUAAAGGGGUCUGAAUACGUUCCAUACCCACUGUAUGUAGUUUAUUUUUUAUAUAUAUAAUAAAGUUUAAAAGACAUCAGA